Oxyura jamaicensis (ruddy duck) is the source of this 2132-nucleotide long non-coding RNA. RefSeq lists it as uncharacterized. The record is from RefSeq and is a predicted model, not a curated record. The transcript has 4 exons. NCBI's taxonomy places the organism in Eukaryota, Metazoa, Chordata, Aves, Anseriformes, Anatidae.
GCGCUUCCCUUUCUUUUACCUCAGUCCCAGCUAUUUAAAGUUGCCAUGUGUUAUUAGAAAAAAAUCUUAGAUCAGUUUAUUUUCAGUGUGUACAGCUUCCCCCUAACUAUUAUAAUAAGAAGCCAAAUCACCUGCAAUGUUUGAAAACAAUUUGAUGCUGCUGUGUGUGUAUUCAAUGUCUUGCAAAAUGCAGGUAAUAGUUUUAAUUGUUUAUUUAGCAGUACCUGAUUAAACAUGCAGACAUAUCACCAUAAUUAAGCUAGUUCUGUUCUGAACUUGGUAUAAAUCAGCUCAGAUGCUGAGGUCUAAUCACUGGUAGUUGAAAGCUCUAGUGGCAUCUGGUGAGACAAAUGGAUAAAUAUCUUACAGAAGCCCAGGAGCUGGUGAGGUUACCAGCCUCAUAGAAGACUAAGUCAUUAAGUGGUGUGAGCAACAGUGUAUAACUCAUUUACAGAACUUUCAAACUAUGAACGUUUCCUUCCCCUUCCUUCUCAUUCCCCCUCCUCCCCCCAAAGUGAUGUGAAAAAUUUUAGUAAGAGACUCCAUGUCCUGAAGACCAUACCUUUGAAGUAUACAAGACAGGCAAAGUGUGGCAGAAGGGAAGAACUGUUAUAACUAAUUUACAGGAAACUGAAGCUCAAAGAUGUUAACUUCUUCUAAGAUCAGACAGGAGGCUGGAACUGUGAAUCAAGGCCUCCUGCUACUGCUGUUCCACUUGCCAAGCUCUGGUGUUAUGGGCUGAGUCCUGUUGGUGAGGUGGUUGCCCAGCCUGUACUGUGGCCACCCUUAGCUCACCUUCCCUCUUGAAGCUGCCCUGUUCUUGCUCUUCUUCCAGCAGGGACUGGAACAUUUGAGAUUAUCUUGACUUCGCUAAAGUACUACACAUUUGACAACUGUCAACAGGACUAUAUUUAGAGGGCCAAUACUUCAUGUAGUGGUUUAGCAGCCAGCGUUCCAGUGAAGGAGCAUUUCUCAAAGGCUCUUCACUCAGCAGACCACUGCAUACCUGGCUUUCCCAGUAUGACCACCUCCCUAGGCCAUUUCUCCUCACCAGCUAUUGACUCUGGUAAUUUCCUCUGGCUGUGAAAGUCACUAAAUUUUCCCCUUCACUAAAUAUCAUGGAGGCACAAAAACCUAAUCUCAGUGCUGAGUCCAUCCCCUUGGCUUCCUCAAAUGGCCUUUCCCUCUUUUGCUUUCUGUGGCAGCACCAUGAAAUGAGGCAGCAGUUUCAUUACAGUAUGCUCCAAAUGCUGUUUUAUGUAAUGUUGUUUGCAGUGCUGUAGUUUGCUUCCUUACUGCCAGUUUCAUCACCUUCCAUAAAGCUUAAUUCAAUUGUUUGUUGAUUACCUCUUUGGAUUAGUGAAUAAAUCUCAAAUUGAAGCUGCUAGCAGCAUUGGUAGGGCUAUAGAUGUCACAAAACUUUCUCUCUCUAUUUUUGUGUCCCUAUCUGGGGUUACACUGGGGUAAACCUUUGCUGCUAUUGUAAAGGUGUUCAGGAAUGAGAAGAGAAGGCUUCAUGCUCAUAAAACUUCUUUACAGACAAUUCUCUAGAAGAACAACUAUGGAGAGAAUUGUAUGUGGUUACUCUAAAUUCUACAACCUUUUUCUAACUAGAACAUGUAUUACUUUGUGUUGCUUUGGUGUUCCUUGUCAUAUGAAAAGAAAUCUCUGCUCUAAUAUAUGAGAUAUUAUCUGAAUACUGCCAGGACUGUGAAGGUUUCUAUUUGGAGGUGUCUCUUUAAAUAAACCACAUUUCAUACUUGGGGAGCAAGCCAAACAGAAGUGGUUUUUAUUCAAGUUUUUAAGCUGGGAUCUGCCUUAGAAGCAGUUGCAUUUACCUCUGCCUCUUUGCCCACAUUCUUCUGAGAAGUCCUGAGACUUAUGGAGAUCAUGGUUUGCUUUCAUAACUUGCAAGGUGCUCUUCUCACCUCUCAUAUGCCAGCUGAGUGUGGGAAGCUCUCACAUUCAUUAUAGAUUUUCAGCAUGCAUCUUUAAUGUCUUAGUAGAUGUUAAUUUAAAUGUUUUUCCUUUCAAAGGUGAUGCGGUUCUACUAUUCAAAUGGGUAAAGGAAAUUAUAUGCUAUAUAUAGAAUUAAAUACAGAGGAAUAUUGAUAAUAAGUUGAGCUGGCAUC